GACGAACGCUGGCGGCGUGCUUAACACAUGCAAGUCGAACGAUGAAGCCCAGCUUGCUGGGUGGAUUAGUGGCGAACGGGUGAGUAACACGUGGGCAACCUGCCCCAAACUCUGGGAUAACUCCUCGAAAGAGGUGCUAAUACCGGAUACGAACUAGACAGACAUCUGUACUAGUUGGAAAGUUUUUCGGUUUGGGAUGGGCCCGCGGCCUAUCAGCUUGUUGGUGAGGUAACGGCUCACCAAGGCUACGACGGGUAACCGGCCUGAGAGGGCGACCGGUCACACUGGGACUCAGACACUGCCCAGACUCCUACGGGAGGCAGCAGUGGGGAAUAUUGCGCAAUGGGCGAAAGCCUGACGCAGCGACGCCGCGUGAGGGAUGAAGGUCUUCGGAUCGUAAACCUCUUUCAGUAGGGACGAAGCGAAAGUGACGGUACCUAAAGAAGAAGCACCGGCUAACUACGUGCCAGCCGCCGCGGUAA
This 482-nucleotide ribosomal RNA is filed under the name uncultured bacterium. RNAcentral describes it as "partial 16S ribosomal RNA". It matches the Rfam family "Bacterial small subunit ribosomal RNA", at positions 28 to 523 of the family's 1533-position model. The record is from RNAcentral.